RNAcentral lists this ribosomal RNA (422 nucleotides) under uncultured bacterium. RNAcentral's name for it is "bacterial SSU rRNA". It matches the Rfam family "Bacterial small subunit ribosomal RNA", at positions 355 to 774 of the family's 1533-position model. The record is from RNAcentral.
UGAGGAAUAUUGGGCAAUGCCCGCAAGGGUGACCCGGCAACGCCGCGUGGAGGAUGAAUGUCGUAAGAUUGUAAACUCCUGUUAGAGGGGAAGAAUAGUACCGGUUGGACCGGUAUAUGACUGUACCCUCAGAGAAAGCCCCGACUAACUACGUGCCAGCAGCCGCGGUAAUACGUAGGGGGCAAGCGUUGUCCGGAUUUACUGGGUGUAAAGGGCGCGCAGGCGGGAUAAAAAGUCAGUGGUGAAAUCCUACAGCUUAACUGUAGAACUGCCUGUGAUACUUUUAGUCUUGAGUUCGGGAGAGAGAGACGGAAUUCCAGGUGUAGUGGUGAAAUACGUAGAUAUCUGGAAGAACACCAGUUGCGAAGGCGGUCUCUUGGUCCGACACUGACGCUGAGGCGCGAAAGCGUGGGGAGCAAACA